Molecule: small RNA, 29 nt
Filed under: Bombyx mori (domestic silkworm)
Lineage: Eukaryota; Metazoa; Arthropoda; Insecta; Lepidoptera; Bombycidae
Description: ovarian small RNA-31262
Source: RNAcentral
UGACAAAACCAGCCUGCUUUUGGGGAAUC